UUGAGGAUAAUUUAUACAUGGAAAACCGGUUUGUUAAAGCAUAGUGAGAAAUUGAUGGAUUAAAAUUCUGUAUCACUGAGUUUUGAAACUUGGUCUGAAGAGCUGGAAAGAAAUGAAACCAAUGGCACCCAAUAUUUCCAAUGGAUUGGACUGUGGCUGGAUGCAAUCUUCCGAAUCAGGGGGUUUCUGUGAACUUCCAGACAUAUUGGAUGAUCAAUAAAGAAGCCGUAAAUUGCAUAACAUGGAACUCUCAAAAGAAGAAGAAUGAAAUUGAGUACAGAGAAGCAAGCUUUUGUAAUAUAACAAAGGCAGGCUCUGAAAGAUGAGUACAAGCAAUACAACAAGAACUGAAGCUCAGCUCCAUCACUGAAAAAAAAAGAAAGAAACAGCAUCUUCUACAAGGAGAUUAGUUGGUUUUGAAGCUGCUCCAUAACUCAUCGAUUGUGAAGUCUAUUAGCGCCACCGGGUGUCAUCCUCUUCUGUUCUUUGGAGGCAUUGUUGCCCUCUAAUCUAAAGCCAUGGCUGCUGAACCUUCCCCGGCUGAAGCUUCUGCUGCUGCUGCUUUUGUUUCUCCGUAUCUUGAAUGGAAUGCCUUCUGAGCCUGAAGAAUCCUGCAACUUGCCCCCAUCACCACCAUGCACCAAAUUCACUUCCAACAGCAGAGAGACCAGAGAGACAACAAUUAAUAUUCUCCUGAAUCUCAUGUUUUCCUUCUCUGUCUGGACUCUGGACUACUGUUAAUUGCCUUGAAUUAACAGAGAUGAGGAAAAAAAGCUUGCCAACAUCUGAUCUCUGUGUAUGCAUGUAGAAUAUAUAUAUGACCUGAGUCAGUAGAUUGGUAGGCCAGUACUCCGUGCGAUUGAGGAUGGGGUCUAGCACAGGUACUGAACAUUGAAGUAGGGGACUUUUUAGUUUUCCCCUUUGGGUUAAUUUUUAUUUACUUCGUUCAGUAACAUCCCCCUUUUUGUGCACAUGGAUGCUGCUCCUCAUAUUGCGGGCCUCCAUGUGUCCAUGUAGCAAUACAGUAGCUUGUGACAUUCUCUAGUUGAUUUUAAGCCUCUAAUGUUAUAGGCUUAUAGCACAAUUCACUUAAGAAAUUAGUUGGGUGGGAGUGAAUAUAAUAUUGGAGAAGUACUAGCACUAGAUAUAUAGAAGCUUCACCUUAGUAUGAUUGUCCAUUUGUUAUUAUUUUAUCCUAAAACUCUCUAUCAAAAUCUUCUAGAAUCAAGAACAAACUUUUAAAUUUUUAUUUUUAUUUUUAUUUGUAUUUUCAACACCAUGCUUCAUUUUUACAUGCAGUCAAAUAAAAUAUUAAAAAUUAUAUUACUAUAUUUUAAAAUAAACUAUUAGGGUUUGUUUGAAAAAUAUUUUUAAAAUAUGUAUGAAAAAAAAAAUUAAAAACAAAUUUUGAAAAAAAAUUAUUUUUAAUAUUUUGUAAAACAAAAAUUUGUUUGAAAAUCGAAAUAUUUUUAACAUAUUUUUUGUAUUUUUACAAAUCUUUUAAAAUUAACUUUUAAAUGCAGUGUUUAAUUUUUAAUUAUUCUUCAUAUUUAUAUAGGUUUUUUUUAAAUAAUUAUUAGAAAAUAAGUAAAAAUAAUUUAAAAAAUGUUUUGUGUUUUUUUAGAAUAACAAAAAACCGUUUUUAAAAAUACAUACUAAACAAACGCUUAAUACCCCUGUUUUUCUUUUUUCAUUUUUUUGCUUUUUUCUUAUUUCUUCUCUCUCGCUGUGAAAAAUAAUCAAAACAUCUAAUACCCUGUUCUUUAUGUUCGUUUUUUUUUACUCUACUAAAAUGAAAUUUAAUAUUUCAUCUUACCAUUAUUUUAGUUAAUGAUGGUUUUGAUAUUGUUGAUAUUUACCUUAUGUAUAAAUAAAUUAUUAUUUUGAUAAGAUUUUUUAGUUAGGUCAAUUGAAAAUUUAAUCUUAAUUAAUUAAGUUCUUUAUGAAUACGACCCAACCCAAUUAUAGUUAAGUUUAAAUUUAAUUUUAAUUAUUUUUGUUAAUUAAAACUCAAUCAUAAUUAAGUUCGGAUGAAUAUUUGAAUUGGAACUGAAUCUCAAUCUUCUUCUAAAAUUUCCAUUUCUUUUUUUUUUUCGCUCAUUCUCUUUAAUUUUUCUUUCUUAUUUUCUUUCCCUAACUAUUUAAAUGACGAAUUUACUUUUUAUAUUAAACUUGUAUUUUGAAAAGAGAAGUUCACUUUUUAUAAAUAUAUUGGUCUUUUUAAAUGAUGAGUUCCAUUUUUAUCUUAAAAACUUUUAUACUAAUCUCAUCUUUUCACUUUUAUAUAUAUAUCACUUUUCACCAAAUGUACCUUUCAACUAAUUAUCUAGUGUUUGAAAUUAGAUUAUUAAUCACUUUUAAUAUUUUUCUCUCAUAAUUAAAAAUGUAAAAUAUAUCACAACCAAAAUUUAAAAUAUUUGAAUAUAUCACCGAUACCAAUAUUUCACCAUUUUUUUUUCUCGCAUUUCAAUAGAUAUUUCACUCAUUUUUUUUUUCAAAUAUUAAAUAAAAUUAAUUCUAAUUAUUUUAUUUUUUAUAUUUGAUUUAAUUUAUUACCAAACAUAUUAAUCCAUAUAUUUAUCAAAUAAAAAAAUUUAAAUUUUUAAAAAUUAUACAUAUAUUAUUAUUUAUUUGAUAUCAUUGAAUAUAUUUUAAAAUUUGACAUGUUAUCACAAUAUUAUUGUAAAAUAAUAUAUAAUGCAACUUAAUAAUAAAUGUAUACUUAUAAAAUUUAUAUUUUUUUAUCAAUGUAGUGUUAUUAUUAUCAAAUAUGAUAAAUUAUAUAAAUUAAUUCUUUAAAAAAAUUCUUUAAAAUGUCUAUUUUUACUUCUUAUACAAAUUUUUAAAGUUUUUUUUUUUUAAUAUUUUCAUAAUUUUUAUUAAUUUUUGUCACUAAUAUUUUGUGACAAAAUAUAUUUAUGUCGAUAAAUAUAUAUCCAUAAACUCGAAGUACUCAUAUAUUUAUAACUACCUAUCUUUUAAUCCUUAUCACAACAACCAAUUUCCACUAAUAAAAAGAUAAUAUUUUGGUAAUUAUUUUUCUAAAAUAAAUAAUAUAUAUAUAUAUAUAUUACCUUGCUCAUUUCAUUUCUCCCUUCAUCACAUGCUAUUUGUUUCAUCCCUUUUUAAAAAAAUCCAUAAUUUAGGGGUAUGACGUUGUACGAAGAUAUGAAUAUUUUAUCACUAGCUUAUCAUACAAAUGUCAUGUAAAAUUGUAGAUAUAACACAAAGAUAAAUUAAAAUAAAUUUAUAUUUAUGAGAAAUUAUCAGAAUGAAUAAAAAUACUUAUGUCUACUAGUGCACAUUUUGUUAUUAUCUAAUAUUACAAUAAUCACUUAUAUUAUUUUCCUUAAAAAACUAAUUUAAGAUACAUAUUAUUAAUUUUUUUAAUGAAUUUUCAUAGUUUUUUUUUAUUCUUUCUCUCAAUAUUUCCUUAAAAUCAAAGUAUAAUAGAAAUGAUUAUUGGAUUUUUGAUUUUUUUUUUCAAAUUAAAUUGAUAUUUUCAUCGAUACCUAUACUUUUAAUAUAGUUUAUCUUCUAUUUUCCUAUUUUAAUCAUUCGUGUUUGAUUUAUUUUUCAUAUUUAUUUCGCCAAUUUACCAUUAUUAUUGUUAUUAGGGCUAUUUGAUUAAAAGGAUCACUAAAAAUUUAAUUUAAAAAAUCUAUUUUUUUUUCACAUUUUGAUAAAAAUAUUCUUAUUUUUUUUAAAUAACUCUUUUAGAAAAAAAACUAAAUAUAAAUACUUAAAAUGAUUAAGGGUAUUUAUGUAAAAAAAAUUAUUUAUUAAAUAAUAAUAUGAAAGAGAUUAAAUUCAUAAAUACAAAUAUUAUUCAAUCCUUUUAAGUUUUAACCAAUUUAUUAUUAUUAUUAUUAUUAUUAUUACAUGGGAAAGAAAUAUAAAAAAUGUAAAACUUGAAAAAGGAGUGAGGAGAGUGGGUGCGCAUUGUACAUCCCCAAGUGCCACCGUUUGGUCCGUUUCCCAAGCCGAGAUACGUGUACCCUCCAAAGCCAUUUGCAAAAGUUCCAGAACUCAAAUGUUAAGAGUCUUAAGACCAAAGCUCCGCUUCGGCGCUAUGUCUGGCGCUGCGAUUUUCCCAUCUUCUUCUUCUCUAGCCCUCAAAAACCCUAAUCUUUCAAUCUCUUCCGAUCAGAGGUUCUUCAAUGGAAUUCUCUUCAAGAACGGCUCCAUUCUCCACGAUCGCUUCCCCAACGCUUCACUUCGCUGCUUCGCAUCCGCGGCUACUUUUGACCGAGUUCGAGUUCAGAACCCUAUCGUCGAAAUGGAUGGUAAGUGUGAUCAAACUCUGGUGUUUUGGUAGUCAGUGUAAUUCUGCGUUCGGUUGCGGAGAAAGGGAGGAAAAAAGGAAAGGAAAUGGAAGUCUGAAUCUUAUGGCUUCUUUUUGUUGUCCUAGCUUCCAGACAAAAUGAGAAUGGUUUUGUUGAUAUCCAAAAUUUUGUUUUAUAACGGCUAGAAUUUUGUGCCCAUGCGUUUUCUCAGCAACCAAGCAGAGUAUAAGUUGCUCAACUUUUCAUUUUUCCAUUUUGAAAUCUAAUUCUAUCGCUGUUGUAUAUUUAUUUUCUUCGUCUAGGUGAUGAGAUGGCGCGAAUUAUGUGGAGAAUGAUUAAAGACAAAGUAAGAAUCAAGCUUUGCUCUGAUUUUCUUAUGCUUUUGUGGAGGCAUUUUAAUUCCGUCCUAAUGGAGUUUUUUUUUAAAAAAACUUUUUUCUUCUUGAUUGCAGCUUAUCUUUCCUUAUCUGGAUUUAGAUAUAAGAUAUUUUGAUUUAGGAAUACUGAAUCGCGAUGCAACUGAUGAUAAAGUCACAGUAGAAAGUGCUGAAGCCACUCUGAAGUAAGUGGGCAGAAUGUGAUUUCGUUUGGUGACAUUUUAUUCAUAGAGGGAUAUUCAAAUUGAAUUUCAGUUAAUUCCUCUCAUUCGUGCAGCUCUUUUGUAGCUUGGCUUGUUGAGUUCUUUAUUUCGCUUUAGGUUAUUUAUUUCUCGGUGUUGAUUGCCACUUGCAGUUGAAUUUGGUUAUUUUUGGUUUAAUUUGAUUACUGUUGGCUUAUGGGUGUUUAUACAGAGACUUAAGAUUAGUUCAUAUCAGAUUUCUAGGUUUGCUUGUAUGGAAUUUCUAGUUACCGUUUUCUUCCAAAAGCUUGUAGGCCACUGGUUUUCACUAUAAUUGCAUCAUCUAUCAGUCUUGUCUAAAAAAAUUGGUGAACUGCUCUCAUCCAUAAAUGUCUAUGUUUUAUGUCCUUUUUUUUGGUGUGGAUAAAAAAAAUCUAUCCUUUAUGUCCCUUUUUAGUGUUUCUAUUUUUUAUCCAAUCAUGUUUGUCCAUUGAUACAUUUGAAAUUAUUUUUUAUGCUGUGGAUGAAUAUUUAUUGGUUUCAGUUGUAGAAGGCUUUGAAUGUUUAGUUGCUGAAUUUCUACCAGGCCUCCAU
This 5439-nucleotide long non-coding RNA is filed under the name Vitis vinifera (wine grape). Its description in RNAcentral is "long non-coding RNA (VVIN_LNC004851)". The record is from RNAcentral. Lineage: Eukaryota; Viridiplantae; Streptophyta; Magnoliopsida; Vitales; Vitaceae.